RNAcentral lists this ribosomal RNA (406 nucleotides) under uncultured bacterium. RNAcentral describes it as "bacterial SSU rRNA". It matches the Rfam family "Bacterial small subunit ribosomal RNA", at positions 376 to 796 of the family's 1533-position model. The record is from RNAcentral.
CAAAAGUCUGAUCCAGCAAUUCUGUGUGCACGAUGAAGGUCUUCGGAUUGUAAAGUGCUUUCAGUUGGGAAGAAGGAAAUGACGGUACCAACAGAAGAAGCGACGGCUAAAUACGUGCCAGCAGCCGCGGUAAUACGUAUGUCGCAAGCGUUAUCCGGAUUUAUUGGGCGUAAAGCGCGUCUAGGUGGUUUGAUAAGUCAGAUGUGAAAAUGCGGAGGCUCAACUCCGUAUUGCGUUGGAAACUGUCAAACUAGAGUAUCGGAGAGGUGGGCGGAACUACAAGUGUAGAGGUGAAAUUCGUAGAUAUUUGUAGGAAUGCCGAUAGAGAAGUCAGCUCACUGGACGAAUACUGACACUGAAGCGCGAAAGCAUGGGGAGCAAACAGGAUUAGAUACCCUGGUAGUCC